GUCUAUGGCCAUACCACCCUGAACGUGCCUGAUCUCAUCUGAUUUCAGAAGCUAAGCAUGGUCAGGCCUGGUUAGUACUUGAAUAAGAGAAAGUCUCCAUCAUAUUUU
This 108-nucleotide ribosomal RNA is filed under the name Propithecus coquereli (Coquerel's sifaka). The record is from RNAcentral. Lineage: Eukaryota; Metazoa; Chordata; Mammalia; Primates; Indriidae.